UUACCCGCUGAAACUUAAGCAUAUCAAUAAGCGGAGGAAAAGAAACCAACAGGGAUUGCCUCAGUAACGGCGAGUGAAGCGGCAACAGCUCAAAUUUGAAAUCUGGCUCUUUCAGGGUCCGAGUUGUAAUUUGUAGAAGAUGCUUCGGGUGUGGCUCCGGUCUAAGUUCCUUGGAACAGGACGUCAUAGAGGGUGAGAAUCCCGUAUGUGACUGGCUGCCUCCGCCCAUGUGAAGCUCUUUCGACGAGUCGAGUUGUUUGGGAAUGCAGCUCAAAAUGGGUGGUAAAUUUCAUCUAAAGCUAAAUAUUGGCCAGAGACCGAUAGCGCACAAGUAGAGUGAUCGAAAGAUGAAAAGCACUUUGGAAAGAGAGUUAAACAGUACGUGAAAUUGUUGAAAGGGAAGCGCUUGCAAUCAGACUUGCGCGCGGUCGAUCAUCCGAUGUUCUCACCGGUGCACUCGACCGUGCUCAGGCCAGCAUCGGUUUCGGUGGUUGGAUAAAGGCCUUGGGAAUGUGGCUCCCUUCGGGGAGUGUUAUAGCCCUCGGUGCAAUGCAGCCUACCGGGACCGAGGACCGCGCUUCGGCUAGGAUGCUGGCGUAAUGGUUGUAAGCGACCCGUCUUGAAACACGGACCAAGGAGUCUAACAUCUAUGCGAGUGUUUGGGUGUCAAACCCAUACGCGUAAUGAAAGUGAACGGAGGUGAGAACCCUUAAGGGUGCAUCAUCGACCGAUCCUGAUGUCUUCGGAUGGAUUUGAGUAAGAGCAUAGCUGUUGGGACCCGAAAGAUGGUGAACUAUGCCUGAAUAGGGUGAAGCCAGAGGAAACUCUGGUGGAGGCUCGCAGCGGUUCUGACGUGCAAAUCGAUCGUCAAAUUUGGGUAUAGGGGCGAAAGACUAAUCGAACCAUCUAGUAGCUGGUUCCUGCCGAAGUUUCCCCUCAGGAUAA
RNAcentral lists this ribosomal RNA (945 nucleotides) under Cylindrocephalum zhejiangense. Its description in RNAcentral is "partial large subunit ribosomal RNA". It matches the Rfam family "Eukaryotic large subunit ribosomal RNA", at positions 21 to 981 of the family's 3401-position model. The record is from RNAcentral. Lineage: Eukaryota; Fungi; Ascomycota; Leotiomycetes; Helotiales; Pezizellaceae.